Molecule: ribosomal RNA, 245 nt
Filed under: uncultured bacterium
Lineage: Bacteria
Description: partial 16S ribosomal RNA
Rfam family: Bacterial small subunit ribosomal RNA
Source: RNAcentral
GACGUAUGGGGCAAGCGUUACUCGGAUUAACUGGGCGUAAAGGGCGCAUAGGCGGUAGUGAAAGUCAAAUGUGAAAUACCACGGCUUAACUGUGGAUCCGCAUUUGAAACUCUGCUACUUGAGUUCAGGUGAGGAGAAUGGAAUUCCAGGUGUAGGGGUGAAAUCUGUAGAUAUCUGGAAGAACACCAAUGGCGAAGGCAAUUCUCUAGCCUGAUACUGACGCUAAGGCGCGAAAGCGUGGGGAG